RNAcentral lists this ribosomal RNA (830 nucleotides) under uncultured organism. RNAcentral's name for it is "bacterial SSU rRNA". It matches the Rfam family "Bacterial small subunit ribosomal RNA", at positions 510 to 1340 of the family's 1533-position model. The record is from RNAcentral.
AGCAGCCGCGGUAAUACGGAGGAGGCAAGCGUUAUCCGGAAUUAUUGGGCGUAAAGCGUCCGCAGGGGGCGCAUCAAGUCUGCUGUUAAAGGUCGGAGCUAAACUCCGGUAGAGCAGUGGAAACUGGUGCGCUAGAGGGCGACAGGGGUAGAGGGAAUUCCCAGUGUAGCGGUGAAAUGCGUAGAGAUUGGGAAGAACACCGGUGGCGAAAGCGCUCUACUGGGUCGCACCUGACCCUCAGGGACGAAAGCUAAGGUAGCGAAAGGGAUUAGAUACCCCUGUAGUCUUAGCCGUAAACGAUGGAUACUAGGCGUGGUUUGUAUCGACCCAAGCCGUGCCGAAGCUAACGCGUUAAGUAUCCCGCCUGGGGAGUACGCACGCAAGUGUGAAACUCAAAGGAAUUGACGGGGGCCCGCACAAGCGGUGGAGGAUGUGGUUUAAUUCGAUGCAACGCGAAGAACCUUACCAGGGCUUGACAUCCCGCGAAGUUUGGGGAAACUCAGACGUGCCUACGGGAACGCGGAGACAGGUGGUGCAUGGCUGUCGUCAGCUCGUGUCGUGAGAUGUUGGGUUAAGUCCCGCAACGAGCGCAACCCUCGUCCUUAGUUGCCAGCAUUAAGUUGGGCACUCUAGGGAGACUGCCGGUGACAAACCGGAGGAAGGUGAGGAUGACGUCAAGUCGGCAUGCCCCUUAUGCUCUGGGCAACACACGUCCUACAAUGGUCGGGACAAAGGGGAGCGAGCUCGCGAGAGUAAGCGAAUCCCAGCAAACUCGGCCUCAGUUCAGAUAGCAGGCUGCAACCCGCCUGCUGAAGGAGGAAUCGCUAGUA